RNAcentral lists this ribosomal RNA (301 nucleotides) under uncultured bacterium. RNAcentral describes it as "partial 16S ribosomal RNA". It matches the Rfam family "Bacterial small subunit ribosomal RNA", at positions 509 to 807 of the family's 1533-position model. The record is from RNAcentral.
CAGCAGCCGCGGGAAUACGUAGGGUGCAAGCGUUACUCGGAAUUACUGGGCGUAAAGCGUGCGUAGGUGGUUGUUUAAGUCUGCUGUGAAAGCCCUGGGCUCAACCUGGGAAUUGCAGUGGAUACUGGGCAACUAGAGUAAGGUAGAGGAUAGUGGAAUUUCCGGUGUAGCAGUGAAAUGCGUAGAGAUCGGAAGGAACAUCUGUGGCGAAGGCGACUAUCUGGGCCAUUACUGACACUGAGGCACGAAAGCUAGGGGAGCAAACAGGAUUAGAUACCCCGGUAGUCCCUGUCUCUUAUAC